This is a long non-coding RNA of Coccinella septempunctata (seven-spotted ladybird), 1056 nucleotides long. RefSeq lists it as uncharacterized. The record is from RefSeq and is a predicted model, not a curated record. The transcript has 4 exons. NCBI's taxonomy places the organism in Eukaryota, Metazoa, Arthropoda, Insecta, Coleoptera, Coccinellidae.
UCCUGGGUUAAUCGUCGAUGUGGUUAUCUCUUGAUGUCCAAACUUACGAUGAUUCCUUGAAUUCAAUGUUUAUGAUAUCCUGAUCUUGAAUAACGGUAUGAUGACCAUAACAAGUUGUAUCUUCGGUGAAAAUUUUAAUGUUUUUCUGUUAUAUAAAGCUCUUUACCUUGACAUACCUGAUUGAAAUAAAGUAAAUAGAAACUAUGAAAUUUUGAAUCUCAGAAAUUAUAAUUCCUCACAGAAAAAAAACUGGAUUGAUACUCAUAAAUUUGAGAAAUAUGAAAAAUUCCUCUCUUCAAUUUAGAUUCUGGAUAUCCCAACUCAUAACUGUUCAAACCAUUAUCGUUUAAAAUAACGAAUGGUCCUUGAAAUGAAAAAAUAAGAAUAUCAUCUAUGUAAUGUAUACAAAAUUGAUCAAAUUUGUCUAGUAUACUAUUCAGAGCUUUAACUAAACUAGAACAAGCUGAUUGGAGUCCAAAUGGUACAACCAAGAAUUGAUAAACUUGUCCAUCUAUCAUGAAUCCGGUAUAUUGUUGUGAUUCUUUAUGAAGAGGGAUCAACCAAAAACUAUGUAAAAGAUCUAAUUUAGUAAAAUAUUUUGCAUGUGUUAUUCUGCCAAAAACAUGAUUUAUAUUUAUGGGAGUUUCAUAUUGGGGUUUCGUAUAUUGAUUUAAAUUUCUAGCGUCUAAACAAAUUCUAAUGUCACCUGAUUUUUUUUUAACAAUUACUAUAGGAUUUAUAUAACUUGUUUUGCUUUUAACUAUAAUUCCCUUUUGUUGAAGCUUUUCUAACUCAUAUUUAACUUGCUCCCUGUAGCAAUAUGGAAUAGGAUAGUUUCUACUUUUAAAAUUUUGUAUAUUAAAAACCUCAAUUUUAUGCACAUAAUUCUUAGCAAUUCUGUUUUCGUUGUUGAAUAAAUUUUGAAAUUUCAAUAUAUUAUUAAAUAAUAAAUUUUUAUGUUCCUCUUUGCAUAUCAUUUGUCUUAUAAUUAUCUUCAGUUUAUCUAUAUAUGUCACUUCUUUAUCACGUUCAAGGUAUCUAUUAUCUUCAUUUUGG